This 244-nucleotide ribosomal RNA is filed under the name uncultured bacterium. Its description in RNAcentral is "partial 16S ribosomal RNA". It matches the Rfam family "Bacterial small subunit ribosomal RNA", at positions 89 to 334 of the family's 1533-position model. The record is from RNAcentral.
UGGCGACCGGCGCACGGGUGAGUAACGCGUAUGCAACCUGCCCGAUACCGGGGUAUAGCCCAUGGAAACGUGGAUUAACACCCCAUAGUACUUUUAUCCUGCCUGGGAUGUGAGUUAAAUGUUCAAGGUAUCGGAUGGGCAUGCGUCCUAUUAGUUAGUUGGCGGGGUAACAGCCCACCAAGACGAUGAUAGGUAGGGGUUCUGAGAGGAAGGUCCCCCACAUUGGAACUGAGACACGGUCCAA